RNAcentral lists this ribosomal RNA (284 nucleotides) under uncultured bacterium. RNAcentral describes it as "partial 16S ribosomal RNA". It matches the Rfam family "Bacterial small subunit ribosomal RNA", at positions 333 to 633 of the family's 1533-position model. The record is from RNAcentral.
CACGACCUACGGGGCGCAGCAGUGGGGAAUAUUGCACAAUGGGGGAAACCCUGAUGCAGCGACGCCGCGUGAGUGAAGAAGUAUUUCGGUAUGUAAAGCUCUAUCGGCAGGAACGAGACAAGACGGUACCUGACUAAGAAGCCCCGGCUAACUACGUGCCAGCAGCCGCGGUAAUACGUAGGGGGCAAGCGUUAUCCGGAAUCACUGGGUGUAAAGGGAGCGUAGACGGCUGGGCAAGCCUGAAGUGAAAGGCGGGGGGCCAACCCCCGGACUGCUUUGGGGAC